RNAcentral lists this unclassified non-coding RNA (331 nucleotides) under Hevea brasiliensis (rubber tree). The record is from RNAcentral. Lineage: Eukaryota; Viridiplantae; Streptophyta; Magnoliopsida; Malpighiales; Euphorbiaceae.
GGUAAGUCAAGUUAGACGUCACACAUUGGUCUGAUGCUUGCUUUUGCUACUCAGGAAAGAAAAAUGGCAGGUUCUCAUCAAAAUGCAAGAAUAAUAUGUGGAAACUCACCAGUUGCUGCCUUAUGCCUGAAGCUUCUAUCAACUUGCCCAGCACUACCACGCUCAUCGUGCUGUUAUAAGAUAUGCACAGGCAAGUCUAACAUGGUUAUAUACAUGGAUCUACUUGGAAGUCAACGGGCUGAACAAGAAUCCCACAACAUCAGCCACAAUAUAAGAAAAAAAAGUACAUUAACUUAAAUCAAUGCACUUGUUCGUGGAAAAUCUAUUCUCG